AAGUGCGAAGGGUUGCAAUACAAUUAGAAAGAGAUGAGCCAUGAGAGAGGAGGAGGGUAAGAUGUCUCAUUCUAUUCACAUGGCAGUGGCACACACAAUUCUUCAAGCUUCCAGAUAUGUCAAUUGUGUCUCUAGGUUGUUGUACGGCCUAUCUGUACUACUAGCCCAUCCCCCUCUGUAUGAAAUUUACAAGGCCCUGGAUCUCUGGGAUUGAACCAACCAAAUUCAAUUCAUUUCCAAUCAUGGAGAUUGGUCUGUCCUUCUCUUUCUCUGACACACUGGAUUUAUUUGUUAGAACAGGCUUUCAGGGGAAGGCAUUUACUCAGGGCAGGUAAACAAGACAUUGGUGUCUCUGCGAUAAAGACCAAAAGACAAAUCAACAUAAUGCAAGUAACAGAUUCCGGUCAAUGAUUGGGGUUUAAUUUGUAUAUAUUACUACUUAUUUGAAAAAGAAAUCUGUAUCUCAUACUAAAAAA
Rosa chinensis is the source of this 476-nucleotide long non-coding RNA. RefSeq lists it as uncharacterized. The record is from RefSeq and is a predicted model, not a curated record. Lineage: Eukaryota; Viridiplantae; Streptophyta; Magnoliopsida; Rosales; Rosaceae. The transcript is spliced from 2 exons.